Molecule: long non-coding RNA, 826 nt
Organism: Cyprinus carpio (common carp)
Lineage: Eukaryota; Metazoa; Chordata; Actinopteri; Cypriniformes; Cyprinidae
Exons: 3
Source: RefSeq, a predicted model, not a curated record
ACACUAUUCGCGGUAGUGCUGUAUCUCAAGGUUUGUUGUAGUGUGGUAAUAGAGGUAAUGAACAGUAAUAUAUCAUGCACUGACAUUCCAAACCUCGCAUUUAGAGCUGAUUCACACGAAACUGGCAAUUCUUGACGCCCUUGAAUCGAAUCUUUUCGGAAUCGACUCACUGUUCCUACCCCUCCCGCCGCAGCUGUUGUUUGAAUUUGUGCGGGUGCGCUGACAGCAGAGCUUGUGUUCUGGUUCUGCAGUGAGGGGCUACUGGCUGACAGCGUCCGGUAAUCUCUGAGAGAUUUACCGCAGACGAAGCAUGAAGUUGUUUCGAGCCGUUUAUUCCCGCUUCAGGUGCUUCGCUGCUGGGCGCACUGAUUUUCUGAGAGAUUUACAUCAGACGAAGGUUAGUAUAAAAACAUAAAACCAUUUAAAUUCUGCACAUUCUGCUCAUCUGAUUUCAGAGUCUCCCAACACUGCAGCUGACUCCUGAUUCACCGGAGACAGCCUUGGAGGAGAAAUGGUCAGAUAUCAAAUGUUGCCAUUCUUUUGGAAAACUGCUGGUCUUUAAAGAACAGUCAUUAAUCAGGUAACUUGAACACAGUUUUUGAAUACUUUUCAGUUACUAAAGUUAUCUUUUAUCCAGUUACUAAAUCACUUUGACUAUUUUUUCCAAUUAUUAAUGAAGUUUAUUUUAACAAAGUUCAGGAGAAACAUUUUCAGGUAAUCCAACCAAUUAGCAUCAGAGGAAGUCUGUAUAUCGCCGCUUUUCUCACCUCCAUUCCCAGACGACAGCAGGCCAAAUAUGCUUAUUCUGUCUAUUAUAUAUACAGUC